GAGCCUUAUUCAUUGUACAGGGCUUUUCUUAAAUCUUUAAACCCUGCUGGGUAACCUUGAGAGGGAGGUUGUCCCUGUUCGAGGGAUCUGUGCUGGAGGUCUGGGGCCAGGCUGGGAGCAGCCAGCCCAAUCCAUGAGCAUUUGCACCACGGGGGAAGCUGGGAGCAGCUCACAGCCUGGUUUUUGCUGGCAACAACAGCCGUUGUGUUUUGACGAGUUAAUAAACAUCUCCCCCAGGAGCGAGGGAGCUCCAGCAUGCUCUGCUUCACCGUGUUUUACUGUCUGACUAACAGAGUUUGCCGAGCAAGAGGUGUUUUUCUAAUCUGAGAACUCGGUGGCUCACGUUUCCCACCUCUCCCAGGAGCUGCUGCGCUUCCCUGCUGAUACCGUGAUGCUUCUGUUAUCUCCUGGAGGGCAACCCAGCCCUUUCUGCCACCCCCAAUCCCAAGUUGUCCCUUGGAUCCCGUGCCUUGGAGCCGUUUAUCAGCCUUGGAAGCUGAGAUAGCAGUGCUCAUCCCGCUCCGUGACCCGCGCGCUCCCGCGGGAUCCCUGCGCUGACGGGAUCCCCUUCAGCGCUGGAAGUGCCACCAAAACCACCAGCCACCG
This 606-nucleotide long non-coding RNA is filed under the name Cyanistes caeruleus (blue tit). RNAcentral describes it as "lncRNA (ENSCCEG00000018946.1)". The record is from RNAcentral. Lineage: Eukaryota; Metazoa; Chordata; Aves; Passeriformes; Paridae.